This 482-nucleotide ribosomal RNA is filed under the name uncultured bacterium. RNAcentral describes it as "partial 16S ribosomal RNA". It matches the Rfam family "Bacterial small subunit ribosomal RNA", at positions 30 to 507 of the family's 1533-position model. The record is from RNAcentral.
AUUGAACGCUGGCGGCAUGCUUUACACAUGCAAGUCGAACGGUAACAGCACUUCGGUGGCUGACGAGUGGCGAACGGGUGAGUAAUACAUCGGAACGUGCCUAGUAGUGGGGGAUAACUACUCGAAAGAGUAGCUAAUACCGCAUGAGAUCUAAGGAUGAAAGCAGGGGACCUUCGGGCCUUGCGCUACUAGAGCGGCUGGUGGCAGAUUAGGUAGUUGGUGGGAUAAAAGCUUACCAAGCCGACGAUCUGUAGCUGGUCUGAGAGGACGACCAGCCACACUGGGACUGAGACACGGCCCAGACUCCUACGGGAGGCAGCAGUGGGGAAUUUUGGACAAUGGGCGCAAGCCUGAUCCAGCAAUGCCGCGUGCAGGAUGAAGGCCUUCGGGUUGUAAACUGCUUUUGUACGGAACGAAAAGCCCUCUUCUAAUACAGGAGGGUCAUGACGGUACCGUAAGAAUAAGCACCGGCUAACUACGUG